This 675-nucleotide unclassified non-coding RNA is filed under the name Hevea brasiliensis (rubber tree). The record is from RNAcentral. Lineage: Eukaryota; Viridiplantae; Streptophyta; Magnoliopsida; Malpighiales; Euphorbiaceae.
GUGGCAGUGCUUCUGCAGGCAUUACGUCUGAGCAGAUGAACAACUUGGUGUCUAACUUAAACAUGUUGGAACAAGUUGGUGAAAUGAACCGCAUAUUCAUAAGGAGUCAGAAAUUAAACAGUGAGGCUAUAGUGGACUUUGUGAAAGCUUUAUGCAAGGUCUCUAUGGAAGAAUUACGUUCUACUUCAGAUCCAAGGGUUUUUAGUCUCACAAAAAUAGUUGAGAUUGCGCACUACAAUAUGAACCGUAUCAGAUUUGUUUGGACAAAAAUCUGGCAGGUUCUUGGUGAAUUUUUCGUGACCAUUGGCUGCUCUGAAAAUCUUUCAAUUGCCAUAUUUGCAAUGGAUUCUUUGCGGCAAUUAUCAAUGAAGUUCUUGGAGAGAGAAGAAUUGGCUAACUAUAAUUUUCAGAAUGAGUUUAUGAAGCCUUUUGUGAUUGUUAUGCGCAAGAGUAGUGCUGUGGAGAUCAGAGAAUUAAUCAUCAGAUGCGUCUCUCAAAUGGUUUUGUCUCGAGUCAAUCAUGUGAAAUCCGGAUGGAAGAGCAUGUUCAUGGUCUUCACCACUGCUGCUUAUGAUGACCAUAAAAACAUUGUGUUAUUAGCUUUCGAGAUAAUGGAAAAGAUUGUGCGAGACUAUUUUCCUUAUAUAACGGAGACAGAGACCACCACAUUCACAG